ACAAUGGAACCAUGAGAGGACUUCGAGAAAAGUUUCUGUUUUUAUGUAUGAUUAUGCUUUUUUCCUUCAAAUUUUGCUACUUUCUAGUUCCUGAAGAAGGCUAAUAACUUAAAUGGAUCUAAAUUAACAAAAGAGCAGUUUUUACAUAUUUUGAUGAAACUAUGGAUUCAAGAGUAAGAUACACUACCCUAGUGCAAGAGGUACUUUUAGCCUGUAAAAAUGCUUAGGUCCUAGCUAGUUUUGGUAUUCUGUCAAAAUACUGAGUACAUUUGAGAACUAUUUUAGAGGCCUUUUGUUUAAUUCUGUGGUUUAAAUGUGUAAAUUGGACCAACUUUAAGAAGUUUAAACACAUGGAUUAUCUGAAUUUCUAGUUUUCUAGUUGCUUUACUAUGUUUUUUACGUAUAUGCAUUAUAUUGAAAAAAUCUUUACUCACUUUAGCAGUGGACCCUCUAACCGCUAUAGAAAUGACCUUAGAGAAAAUUUCUGUGAUGGAAGUAGAUAAUGAAAAAUUUUUAAACAUUUAAUCCUGCUCUCUGGUAUUGCUGCAUAACUUGGAAAAUCUGUUCUUUUUACUUAGUGGUAUUGUUAAAUAGUCUACAUGAUCAAAAAUUCUUACUGUGAAGUAAGAAACUUAAGUUGAAAAUAAUUUGUCAUGGAGUGUCAUUAUUUUUAGGUGACUUAAAGUGAUGGUGUUGUUUUUAUUUCUUUAUAGGUCAUUUUAGAUCAUCAAAUUGCUUUUCUUUUCUUUUUUUCUUUUUUUUUGAGACGGAGUUUCACUUUUGUUGCCCAGGCUGUAAUGAGUGCAAUGGCGCGAUCUCGGCUCACCUCAACCUCCGCCUCCCAGGUUCAAGCAGUUCUCCUGCCUCAGCCUUCCGAGUAGCUGGGAUUACAGGCAUGCGCCACCACGCCCGGCUAAUUCUGUAUUUUUAGAGCCAGGGUUUCUCCAUGUUGGUCAGGCUGGUCUUGAACUCCUGACCUCAGGUGAUUCACUGCCUUGGCCUCCCAAAGUCCUGGGAUUACAGGUGUGAGCCAUCGCACCCAGUCAUCAGAUUGCUUUUCUAUGCAAUCUCAAGCUUUCUCAGCUUCCUUUCACUUAAAGAAAAUUACCCACUACAGCACUUUGGCUGUCUUGUCACUUGAGUUUAUAUUAAGUUAUACUUUUUUCUGCCAUUCUGUAAGUGCUUCCCAAAUUCUUUUUUUCUCUCUAUAAGGUAUCUCAGAUACAGCAAGGUGAAUGUAGUUUUCCUACAGAAAUGUCUGAAUUUAAAAAGUGCACGAAUCCUUUAUUAAUCUGAUUUUACAGGAGUUACCUCAGUGUAGAGUCCAGGGAUAUAUAUUUUUAUAAAACUCUUUCACUUAGUCCUCACCGUAAACCAACCAGUAAUAGAUCAGUAGUACAGAUUAGUCAUGGAUGAGUUUGGGAGGUAUGUGAUUGAUUUUUUGAUCUUGGCCUUCCUUUUUACACUUUGAAAGACCAGACACACUUUUCCUCUAAGUUUGAACCUUUAAACAACGUGGAGGAUUGGAUAUAAUUUCUGUUCAGCUAUGUACCCUUUCUAGCUCCUAUGAAAUAGAAGCAUGCGUAGUAGGAUAACAUUUAUUCCUCUCCCACAACUUAAGAAUAUUUUAAGUAAAAUCUGAAUAUUUUUAGUUCAGAGAAUUGUAAGUCGUUAAUUGGUAUUUAAUUAAUCCUUUUUUUUUUUUUUUUUUUUUGAGAAGGUUUCUCGCUCUGUGUCCCAGGCUGGAGUACAGUGGCGUGAUCUUGGCUCACUGCAUCCUCUGCCUUUCGGGUUCAAGCAAUUCUCCUGCCUCAGCAUCCCAGGUAGCUGGGAUUACAGGCAUACAUCACCAUGCCCAGCUAAUUUUUUUGUAUUUUUAGUAGAGACGGGUUUCACCAUGUUAGCCAGGCUGGUCUCUAACUCCUGACCUCAGGUGAUCCGCCUGCCCCGGCCUCCCAAAGUGCUGGGAUUACAAGUAUGAGCCACCACGCCCAGCCAAGGCUUCUAAAUUUUGUGAACUUACCUGUGGCUCCUCUGACUUAGAGCCAUUUUUAUUUUAUUUUAUUUUGUUUUAUGUUUUUGAGAAAGGGUCUUUUGCUUUGUAGCCCACGCUGAAGUGCGCUUAGGUGUUCGCAGCUCAUUGCACUCUCUACCACCCAGGCUCAAGUGACGCAUGUACCACCACCACAUCUGGCGUUUUUUUCUUGAUAGAGAUCAGGUUUCACUGUGUUGCCCAGGCUGGUCCCAAACUCCUGGGCUCAAGUAAUCUGCCUGCUUUGGCCUCCCAGAGUGCUGGGAUCGUAUGCGUGAGCCACUGCGCCCGGCCCUUACAAGCCAUUUUAAAACUGGUCCCCAAGAAGGCAGUGGUCCAUUACUUCCCAGUUGAAACUUUAGAUAUCCCAAAUAGCUGAUGAUUAGAGAGCUAGCUGGAGAGAUCUUGAGUUCCUUAGCUAUUAGCCAUUAUUUUAAAAAGAUAAUCUAGCUUUGAGAGACCUGGAAAUAGUAGUUUAUAGCUUCCAACAUUUUAAGGAAGGUACCAUUCUAUUUGGAUGAGUUCCAUUUUAGUUUACAGGAUUUUAUUUUUAUUUAUUUAUUUAUUUUUGAGACAGUUUCACUCUCGCCCAGACUGGAGUGCAAUGGUGUGAUCUUGGCUCACUGCAACCUCUGCUUCCCAGGUUGAAGCUAUUCUCCUGCCUUAGCCUCCCAAGUAGCUGGAAUUAACAGGCACCUGCCACCAUACCUGGCUAAUUUUUGUAUUUUUAAUAAAGACAGGUUUUCACCAUGUUGGCCAGGCUGGUCUUGAACUCCUGACCUCAGUUGAUGCUCCCACCUUGGCCUUCCAAAGUGCUGGGACUGCAGGCCUGAGCCACCGCACCUGGCCUUUCACAGGAUUUUAGAUAAUUUUACUAGAGCAUAGGAAUGUACCUAAACUGUUGUCAGGUAAAUAUAAACCAGUUUUUUUUUUUUUUUUUUUUUUUUUUUUAAGGAGCUCAUUUAUAAAAUACCAAUCCGCAGCUUUUUGAAAGCACCUAUCUUGUAAUUUGGUACCUUGGUACCUUACUCUAAUUUAGUUCAGCUCUCAGACAUCCCCCUUUAAAAACACAUCGCCUGACCAUGUUUUAUAUUCCAAAUAUAAUUGUAUUGGGUAGUGUGGGUGUUACAGAAAUUACCUCAAUUUGUGGGAGUUUGUGAAACAUCAAUAAUAGUUGUAAAGCAGGAAUUGUAAAACAAGACUGCUUUAUAAUCAGUGUAAUAAUAGUUCUUUUUUUUUUUUUUUAAGCACAUUCCAUGUGCCUGGCAAGGGUCUGAUAAGCAGUUUACCUUUAUUGACUCAUUUGCUUUUCACAACAACCCUAUGAGACUAUUGUCCCAGUGAAUUUAAAUAACAUGGACCAAAGAUUCACAUCUUUGUAAUUUGGGAGUGAACCUAGGCAGUCUAAUAGCAGAGCCCACUUUUUGUAACUUCUCUUUCUUACAUUGCCUAAAAAGUUAACUCAUUUAUAUCUGCAUUUUUUCCUAAAGAAAUUUAUUUGAAUAAAAUAAGAGUUACUUCAAUUUAAAGUAAACCAUAAAAGAGUGAAUAGUGAUAGAAUGUCAUGUUUCCCGCCCUAAAUUUGGAAAGAGGCAUUCCUUAAAUUUGCUUAUUUUGGGGAAAUACAAAGGGAGCAUAAUAUUUUGAUAAAUGGGAUUCGUUUUCUAGAAAAGCCAUUCCUGUUGAAUCAUGUUAGCAUUUUAUGGUAAUGCUAAUCAUGGUGUAUUUUUCAUUCACUGUGUAUUUAGUAGGUAGUAAACCUGGAACAUCCUCAAAAGCUGGAAGUGAUUAAAGUUUUAGUUUUUGUUUUUGUUUUUGUUUUGUUUUGUUUUGUUUUGAGACGGAGUCUUUGUCACCCAGGCUGGAGUGCGGUGGCGCAAUCUCAGCUCACUGGAAUCUCCGCCUUUUGGGUUCAAGAGAUUCUGCUGCCUCAGCCUUCCAAGUAGCUGGACUACAGGCGUGUGCCACCAUGCCUGGCUAAAUUUUGUAUUUUUUGUAUAGAUGGGGUUUCGCCAUGUUGGCUAGGCUGGUUUCAAACUCCUGGUCUCAAAUGAUCCAUCCAUCUCAGCCUCCCAAAGUGUUGGGAUUAUAGGCAUGAGCCACCAUGCUCGGCCUAAAAGAUUCUAUUUUAACUAAUUGUUCACAUUUAUAGUAUAUAGUUUCUAGAAAAGUAGAUAUAAACAUGGAUGUUUUAUUCAGAGUGCUAUAAAGUAGCAUACAAUGAAUACUUCAGUUUGGUCCACAGUAAAAAUUAAUAAGCCUUGCUGAUCUCAAGGUUAGUUACUACUCUUGAUCUUUAUUAACUCUAUAUCUUUUCCCUGUCAAAUAUCUUAAGUAUGUUGACAAGUUAAUCCAGUUUUUCCAAGAAUGUGCAUAGCGUAUUUGAGGGCAGGAUCAAGCCUCAAGGAUUCAGAGAAAUGGUUUUAAAUUAAAUCAAUGUGAUUUAGUGAAUGGGCAGGAGUUUGUACAGCCUAUGAUACUGCAUAGACAUUAAUAUCCUAGAGUUUGAAUGGUUCAGAUGAAAAUAUUUCAGCUUUAUUUUUGUUAAUUCUACUAAUUUACUUUGCUGCAGGAGUGGAGUCAACAUAUCAAUGGAGCAAGUCACAGUCGUCGAUGCCAGCUUCUUCUUGAAAUCUACCCAGAAUGGAAUCCUGACAAUGAUACAGGACACACAAUGGGUGAUCCAUUCAUGUUGCAGCAGUCUACAAAUCCAGCACCAGGAAUUCUGGGACCUCCACCUCCCUCAUUUCAUCUUGGGGGACCAGCAGUUGGACCAAGAGGAAAUCUGGGUGCUGGAAAUGGAAACCUGCAAGGACCUAGACACAUGCAGAAAGGCAGAGUGGAAACUAGCAGAGUUGUUCACAUCAUGGAUUUUCAACGAGGGAAAAACUUGAGAUACCAGCUGUUACAGCUGGUAGAACCAUUUGGAGUCAUUUCAAAUCAUCUGAUUCUAAAUAAAAUUAAUGAGGCAUUUAUUGAAAUGGCAACCACAGAGGAUGCUCAGGCCGCAGUGGAUUAUUACACAACCACACCAGCGUUAGUAUUUGGCAAGCCAGUGAGAGUUCAUUUAUCCCAGAAGUAUAAAAGAAUAAAGAAACCUGAAGGAAAGCCAGAUCAGAAGUUUGAUCAAAAGCAAGAGCUUGGACGUGUGAUACAUCUCAGCAAUUUGCCGCAUUCUGGCUAUUCUGAUAGUGCUGUUCUCAAGCUUGCUGAGCCUUAUGGGAAAAUAAAGAAUUACAUAUUGAUGAGGAUGAAAAGUCAGGCUUUUAUUGAGAUGGAGACAAGAGAAGAUGCAAUGGCAAUGGUUGACCAUUGUUUGAAAAAAGCCCUUUGGUUUCAGGGGAGAUGUGUGAAGGUUGACCUGUCUGAGAAAUAUAAAAAACUGGUUCUGAGGAUUCCAAACAGAGGCAUUGAUUUACUGAAAAAAGAUAAAUCCCGAAAAAGAUCUUACUCUCCAGAUGGCAAAGAAUCUCCAAGUGAUAAGAAAUCCAAAACUGAUGGUUCCCAGAAGACUGAGAGUUCAACCGAAGGUAAAGAACAAGAAGAGAAGUCCGGUGAAGAUGGUGAGAAAGACACAAAGGAUGACCAGACAGAGCAGGAACCUAAUAUGCUCCUUGAAUCUGAAGAUGAGCUACUUGUAGAUGAAGAAGAAGCAGCAGCACUGCUAGAAAGUGGCAGUUCAGUGGGAGACGAGACCGAUCUUGCUAAUUUAGGUGAUGUGGCUUCUGAUGGGAAAAAGGAACCAUCAGAUAAAGCUGUGAAAAAAGAUGGAAGUGCUUCAGCAGCAGCAAAGAAAAAGCUUAAAAAGGUGGACAAGAUGGAGGAACUUGAUCAAGAAAACGAAGCAGCGUUGGAAAAUGGAAUUAAAAAUGAGGAAAACACAGAACCAGGUGCUGAAUCUGCUGAGAACGCUGAUGAUCCCAACAAAGAUACAAGUGAAAACGCAGAUGGUCAAAGUGAUGAGAACAAGGAGGACUAUACAAUCCCAGAUGAGUAUAGAAUUGGACCAUAUCAGCCCAAUGUUCCUGUUGGUAUAGACUAUGUGAUACCUAAAACAGGGUUUUACUGUAAGCUGUGUUCACUCUUUUAUACAAAUGAAGAAGUUGCAAAGAAUACUCAUUGCAGCAGCCUUCCUCAUUAUCAGAAAUUAAAGAAAUUUCUGAAUAAAUUGGCAGAAGAACGCAGACAGAAGAAGGAAACUUAAGAUGUGCAAGGAGAUUUAAUGAUUUCAAAGAAAAUAAUGGUUCUUUGUUUUUAAUGUUAACCUUUUUUAAAUACAAUACUGAUAGUUAGAAGAAAACUAUUGUACUCUUUUGUUUUAGUGGAGAAAUAAUAGAUGUCUGUUCAUGUGUUAAGUGUUAUAGCAAAAAAAAUACACAUGGUUAAGUUAAUGAAUAGUUUUUGUUUUAUCAGAAUGGCAACAGACAGAAGUACUUUGUAGAGAUUGACUUCCUAAGCUACUUAAGACAACUUGCACCACUAAGAAAAAAAUGUAGAACCAUUUGGAAAAAUGAAAUUUAGUAGUUCCAAGUUUCAAAGAAAUGUCAACAUUUUAUUCCAUUCAAUAAAGAACAAAACCAAUAGUGUUUUUAUUACUUUCAUCUGAAACAUUCCAUGUUUUAAUCUGAGCCUUGCAGACUUUGAUUUGGAGUUUGAACCCGUUUUGGUUGCAUUUCAUUUUUGGAGAACUUAAUUAACGUGAGAUUGGCAAUUGAAACGCAGGUGCAGUUUUCUGUUAAUGUCAUGCUGUUGUUUAGGUAAUAAGAAAUAUUAAGUAAUUGGCUUUAGAUUUUGUAAUUUUUUUCCCUGAGUUCCUGCUAGAUUUCGUAUUCUAGUAGUCAAUGUAUUUUCAGUGAAAUGUAAAAAUAUUCCCGUUAUCUUUGACCAGUAUUAAUUUUUGAGAUCUUACUGCUUGUCACUUGAAUCCCGUGAUUGUCAUACAUCUCUGGUAUAAGCAACAUUUGAUUUUUGAAGUGUGUAGACCAUCUCUUCAUAUUUUCAAGUUGUAAUUUUACAUUUCUGCAUUUUUAAAACAGUUUGGCCAUAAUCCUAGAUGCACGCUUCUAAUUCAUGUACCUGCACAUGUGACCUUUGUGAACAGAAAUUUGCAUGUAUAAUUUGUGUUUACUUGUAACUUUCUGGUUAUAUACUGCUUAUAUCUGUGGAUUCAAGUUACUGAAGUGAAUACCAAUAAAAAAGAAAACCCUAGGCCAUGUUAAUUGGUUAUACAUGUUUGGAAUGUUAA
This 7277-nucleotide small RNA is filed under the name Pan troglodytes (chimpanzee). Its description in RNAcentral is "retained intron". The record is from RNAcentral. Lineage: Eukaryota; Metazoa; Chordata; Mammalia; Primates; Hominidae.